Molecule: unclassified non-coding RNA, 335 nt
Filed under: soil metagenome
Description: partial contains 5.8S ribosomal RNA, internal transcribed spacer 2, and large subunit ribosomal RNA
Rfam family: 5.8S ribosomal RNA (bases 1-120)
Source: RNAcentral
GAUGAAGAACGUAGCGAAAUGCGAUAAGUAAUGUGAAUUGCAGAAUUCAGUGAAUCAUUGAAUCUUUGAACGCACAUUGCGCCCGCCAGUAUUCUGGCGGGCAUGCCUGUUCGAGCGUCAUUUCAACCAUCAAGCCCCCGGCUUGUGUUGGGGACCUGCGGCUGCCGCAGGCCCUGAAAACCAGUGGCGGGCUCGCUAGUCACUCCGAGCGUAGUAAUACAUCUCGCUCAGGGCGUGCUGCGGGUUCCGGCCGUUAAAAAGCCUUAUUUACCCAAGGUUGACCUCGGAUCAGGUAGGAAGACCCGCUGAACUUAAGCAUAUCAAUAAGCGGAGGA